UGUGACAUCACAAUGCUCCAAUGUGACAUCACCAUGCUCAUUGUGCAAACACAGUGCUGAAAUGUGUAAUGUUGAUGUUCACUAUGCCAUCACAAUG
This 97-nucleotide microRNA precursor is filed under the name Nannospalax galili (Upper Galilee mountains blind mole rat). RNAcentral describes it as "miRNA (ENSNGAG00000005785.1)". Lineage: Eukaryota; Metazoa; Chordata; Mammalia; Rodentia; Spalacidae. The record is from RNAcentral.